CCUACGGGUGGCAGCAGUGAGGAAUAUUGGUCAAUGGGCGCGAGCCUGAACCAGCCAAGUCGCGUGAGGGAAGACGGUCCUAUGGAUUGUAAACCUCUUUUGUCGGGGAGCAAAAGACGCCACGCGUGGCGUUCCGAGAGUACCCGUAGAAAAAGCAUCGGCUAACUCCGUGCCAGCAGCCGCGGUAAUACGGAGGAUGCGAGCGUUAUCCGGAUUUAUUGGGUUUAAAGGGUGCGCAGGCGGAAGAUCAAGUCAGCGGUAAAAUUGGGAGGCUCAACCUCUUCGAGCCGUUGAAACUGGUUUGCUUGAGUGAACGAGAAGUAAGCGGAAUGCGUGGUGUAGCGGUGAAAUGCAUAGAUAUCACGCAGAACUCCGAUUGCGAAGGCAGCAUACCGGCGCUCAACUGACGCUCAUGCACGAAAGUGUGGGUAUCGAACAGGAUUAGAUACCCCUGUAGUC
RNAcentral lists this ribosomal RNA (459 nucleotides) under uncultured bacterium. RNAcentral describes it as "partial 16S ribosomal RNA". It matches the Rfam family "Bacterial small subunit ribosomal RNA", at positions 338 to 795 of the family's 1533-position model. The record is from RNAcentral.